AAGACCGUACUUUUACAGGAUCAUUUCUAUAGUACCUUCUUUUCUACUUGACUUUCCUAGUAGACAACCUCAUUAACUUUGAUGAUCGUAUUCGACUUCAUUCAUUGACUCGGGAUGUCGGUGGUUGCAGUGCUG
Molecule: small nucleolar RNA, 135 nt
Filed under: Phytophthora nicotianae INRA-310
Lineage: Eukaryota; Oomycota; Peronosporomycetes; Peronosporales; Peronosporaceae
Description: Phytophthora parasitica INRA-310 Small nucleolar RNA U3
Rfam family: Small nucleolar RNA U3
About the family: Small nucleolar RNAs (snoRNAs) are involved in the processing and modification of rRNA in the nucleolus.
Source: Rfam by way of RNAcentral